Molecule: ribosomal RNA, 442 nt
Filed under: uncultured bacterium
Lineage: Bacteria
Description: partial 16S ribosomal RNA
Rfam family: Bacterial small subunit ribosomal RNA
Source: RNAcentral
CCUACGGGAGACAGCAGUAGGGAAUCUUUCACAAUGGGCGAAAGCCUGAUGGAGCAACGCCGCGUGCAGGAUGAAGGCCUUCGGGUUGUAAACUGCUUUUAUAAGCGAGGAAUAUGAUGUUAACUUAUGAAUAAGGAUCGGCUAACUACGUACCAGCAGCCGCGGUCAUACGUAGGAUCCGAGAAUUAUCCGGAGUGACUGGGUGCAAAGAGUUGCGUAGGUGGCAUACUCAGUAGCUAGGGAAAUCUGGUGGCUCAACCAUUCAGACGAUUAGCUAAACUGUUAAGCUCGAGAGCGUUAGGGGUAAGUGGAAUUUCAAGUGUAGGAGUGAAAUCCGUAGAUAUUAGAAAGAACACCGAUGGCGAAGGCAGGUUACUGGGACGGUUCUGACACUCAGGCACGAAAGCGUAGGGAGCAAACGGGAUUAGAUACCCGAGUAGUC